This 672-nucleotide ribosomal RNA is filed under the name Triticum aestivum (bread wheat). Its description in RNAcentral is "partial small subunit ribosomal RNA". Lineage: Eukaryota; Viridiplantae; Streptophyta; Magnoliopsida; Poales; Poaceae. The record is from RNAcentral.
AUGUGGAAUGAUGACCUGCAAGUUCAUGUUCAUAGUGCUAGCUUCCAUAUUAUCUUAGCUACUGAUGUACAUAGUACUAGUAAUCUGAAGUUUGGCUUAGUGUGUAUCUAUGGUGAUCCGUAUCAUCGUCAAACUUGUCAAAUCUGGAGUGAGAUGGCUGCUUUUGCGUAUAAUAACUCCAGUUUACCCAUGCUAUGUAUAGGGGAUAUGAAUGAGCUUUUGUAUGAUAUGGAUACAAACUCCCCUAAUAUAAAUCGCUCUCGCAUGUAUGGUUUCCGUGCUUUAGUGAAACAAUUUGGUCUCUUUGAUUUGGGUUUCAGUGGCCCGGCAUACACUUGGACAAAUAAAAGAUUUGCCUCUAAAUCCACUUUUGAAAGAUUGGACAGAUGCUUGGUAAAUGCUGAAUGGUGUGCUGCUUAUCCUAUUUCUAAUGUUUACAACAUGCCUAUUAUCCACAAUCUGAGUGAUCAUGCUGCAAUCUUGCUGUCCACAGAAGGUCGCACUUGUAAUAUAAAAUGCUCUUUUAAGUUCGAAAAUUGGUGGCUUAAAGGACAAGAUUUCCUAAACCAUGCAAGAUCAGUUUGGCUUUUUUCAAAAAUAAAUCCUUCUCAAGUAGAAUUAACUAUCCUGCAGGCUCUCUUAAGAUAUGGUGUAAGAAAAAGAAGCCACUGA